This 1105-nucleotide ribosomal RNA is filed under the name Trilobodrilus heideri. Its description in RNAcentral is "partial large subunit ribosomal RNA". It matches the Rfam family "Eukaryotic large subunit ribosomal RNA", at positions 55 to 868 of the family's 3401-position model. The record is from RNAcentral. Lineage: Eukaryota; Metazoa; Annelida; Polychaeta; Dinophilidae.
GGAAAAGAAACUAACAAGGAUUCCCCUAGUAACGGCGAGUGAAGAGGGAUUUAGCCCAGCACCGAAUCCUCUUGUCUUAACGGCAUGUUGGAACUGUGGUGUUUGGGGGUUGCUAUGUCCUCGCGGCCAUUCGGUUUAAGUUCUCUUGAUCGGGACUUCACCCAUAGAAGGUGUUAGGCCUGUCUACCGCCGAAUCGUGCCGUGGGCUUAGUAGCUCCUAGGAGUCGGUCUGUUUGAGAUUGCAGAUCAAAGUGGGUGGUAAGCUCCAUCUAAGGCUAAAUACUUGCACGAGUCCGAUAGCAGACAAGUACCGUGAGGGAAAGUUGAAAAGAACUUUGAAGAGAGAGUUCAAUAGUACGUGAAACCGUUUAGAGGUAAACGAACGGGACCGCAAACGCCUCCCCGUCAUAUUCAAUCUGGCAUCUGGGAUGCCUUCGGCUUGUCGACCUGUAUUCUAAGGGCUGACUUGUCGUUGGAUUUUCUUUGUUUGCUGGCUGCUUGUUUGGCGGUGGAGGGCGCCACAACCGGUUCGCUAUCAAUUCUCUAAGGUUGGCUAAAGGUUCGGCGUAAGGUAGGCUGGCGGUUGGGCGUUCUCACGGAUGCCCGGCCGUCGGUUAUCAUACAGACGCCGUUCUCUGACGCUCGACCGGCGGACCGAGGAAGAACUUAUUAAGCAACGUCCACCUCUUGUGGUGUCGGCUCGGAACGGAUUAGUUUGUCGUGUUCAACAGAUUCGGACUGCUUGCAGUGCGGGUCGACUGCUCGGCUUACGUUCGCCYGGCCGGCGUCCCGACGUUCAGGGUUAGUGGCGAAUUGUCGGCAUCCCGUUCGACCCGUCUUGAAACACGGACCAAGGAGUGCAGCAUGCGUGCGAGUCGUAGGGUUCUCAACGAGACCCGAAGGCGAAAUGAAGGUAAAGGACGCUGCUCUCCUCACGGUGACAGCGUCUAAGGUGUGAUCCGAACCCGGUCGUUAACGCCGGCUCGGCGCAACACCGGCCCGUCUCAAACCCCGUGCCGGUUGAGGCGGCGCAAGAGCACGUACGCUGCGACCCGAAAGAUGGUGAACUAUGCCUGAGUAGGACGAAGCCAGAGGAAACUCUGGU